RNAcentral lists this transfer RNA (158 nucleotides) under uncultured marine thaumarchaeote KM3_26_F01. RNAcentral describes it as "tRNA-OTHER". It matches the Rfam family "tRNA". From Rfam's summary of the family: Transfer RNA (tRNA) molecules are approximately 80 nucleotides in length. Their secondary structure includes four short double-helical elements and three loops (D, anti-codon, and T loops). Lineage: Archaea; Thermoproteati; Nitrososphaerota. The record is from RNAcentral.
GGGGACGUAGCCUAGCUCGGUUAUGGCGUCAGCACUUGUUGUGCCGCUAACGGCUCCAGAAGCUAAUAGUAUAAUUUAGGUAAAACUGACUUAAUGGAUGAUGUACCUUUGGAGCAGCAGUGACCGGGAGAUCGUGGGUUCAAAUCCUGCCGUCCCCA